This 406-nucleotide ribosomal RNA is filed under the name uncultured bacterium. RNAcentral describes it as "partial 16S ribosomal RNA". It matches the Rfam family "Bacterial small subunit ribosomal RNA", at positions 30 to 526 of the family's 1533-position model. The record is from RNAcentral.
AUUGAACGCUGGCGGCAGGCCUAACACAUGCAAGUCGAACGAGUGGCGGACGGGUGAGUAAUGUCUGGGAAACUGCCUGAUGGAGGGGGAUAACUACUGGAAACGGUAGCUAAUACCGCAUACCAUCAGAUGUGCCCAGAUGGGAUUAGCUUGUUGGUGGGGUAAAGGCUCACUAAGGCGACGAUCCCUAGCUGGUCUGAGAGGAUGACCAGCCAAAUGGGAAUGAAGAACCGGCCCAAACUCUUACGGGAGGAAGCAGUGGGAAACAUUGAACAAGGGGCGCAAGCCGGAUGUAGCACGGCCGCGUGGAUGAAGAAGGCCUCCGGGUUGUAAAGUAUUUUCAGCGGUGAGGCGUUACCCGAAGAAGAAGCACCGGCUAACUCCGUGCCAGCAGCCGCGGUAAUAC